This 941-nucleotide non-coding RNA is filed under the name Microhyla taraiensis. Its description in RNAcentral is "12S ribosomal RNA". It matches the Rfam family "Bacterial small subunit ribosomal RNA". The record is from RNAcentral. Lineage: Eukaryota; Metazoa; Chordata; Amphibia; Anura; Microhylidae.
CAAAGGUUUGGUCCUGACCUUAUUAUCAGCUCCCUUUAAACUUACACAUGCAAGUAUCAGCACACCCGUGAGAACGCCCUUUUAGCCUUAAUAGGACAAGGAGCCGGUAUCAGGCACAGACAUACUAGCCCAUAACACCUAGCUUUGCCACACCCUCAAGGGUAUUCAGCAGUGAUUAAUAUUGUUCAUAAGCGCCAGCUUGAAUCAGUUAUAAAGUAAAGAGCCGGCUAAUACGGUGCCAGCCGCCGCGGCUACACCGCUAGGCUCAAGUUGAUAUUAUCCGGCGUUAAGCGUGUUUUAAGUGCCAAACAGAUUAGGAUUAAACUUAAACCAAGCCGUGACACGCUUGUUUCUAAGAAGAACAUAAACGAAAGUUAUUCUAACUUAACCACUUGAACCCACGACAGCUAGGACACAAACUGGGAUUAGGUACCCCACUAUGCCUAGCCGUAAAACAUACAUUUACACCCCUAAUCGCCAGGGAAUUACGAGCACAAGCUUAAAACCCAAAGGACUUGACGGUGUCCCACCCACCUAGAGGAGCCUGUUCUAUAAUCGAUUUCCCCCGAUAUACCUUACCAUUUUUAGCUUUUUUCAGCCUGUAUACCUCCGUCGUAAGCUUACCACAUGAGCGCUUUUUAGUGAGCUAAAAGAUUUUUUAUAAAUACGUCAGGUCAAGGUGCAGCCAACGAAAUGGAAAGUAAUGGGCUACAAUUUCUACCUAUAGAACAAACGAAAGACUACAUGCAAUCCGGUCAUGAAGGCGGAUUUAGAAGUAAAAAGAAAAUAGAGAGUUCUUUUUAAUUAGGCGCUGGGACGCGUACACACCGCCCGUCACCCUCUUCAAACGCCUUAUUUUUGUUCUUAACAACAUUAUGCACUACAGAAGAGGUAAGUCGUAACAUGGUAAGCGUACUGGAAAGUGCGCUUGGCUUAACAAA